RNAcentral lists this ribosomal RNA (494 nucleotides) under uncultured bacterium. RNAcentral's name for it is "partial 16S ribosomal RNA". It matches the Rfam family "Bacterial small subunit ribosomal RNA", at positions 28 to 507 of the family's 1533-position model. The record is from RNAcentral.
GACGAACGCUGGCGGCGUGCUUAACACAUGCCAGUCGAACGGUGAAGCGCCUUCCUUUUUGGUGGGUGUGGAUGAGUGGCGAACGGGUGAGUAACACGUGAGUAACCUGCCCCCUUCUUCUGGAUAACCGCAUGAAAGUGUGGCUAAUACGGGAUAUUCUGGGUCUGUCGCAUGAUGGGUCUGGGAAAGAUAUUGUUUCGGUUGGGGAUGGGCUCGCGGCCUAUCAGCUUGUUGGUGGGGUGAUGGCCUACCAAGGCGGUGACGGGUAGCCGGCCUGAGAGGGUGGACGGUCACACUGGGACUGAGACACGGCCCAGACUCCUACGGGAGGCAGCAGUGGGGAAUAUUGCACAAUGGGCGCAAGCCUGAUGCGGCGACGCCGCGUGAGGGAUGGAGGCCUUCGGGUUGUGAACCUCUUUCGCCAGUGAAGCAGGCCUGCCUCGUUUGUGGGUGGGUUGACGGUAGCUGGAUAAGAAGCGCCGGCUAACUACGUG